ACUGUUUGCAGAAGAAAGGUUGCCAUCAUUCUGUUCGACGAAAACUGAGCAAGGUUACCUAUAUAUAUUCUUUUCAACAACAAUUAGUUGUUUUAAGGUUGUGAGAAAGACCAUGAACACGAGUCUCUUAUGAUUUAACUAAUGACCUAAUUACACCAAGCGAAAGAUCAAAUUGCGCCAAGAGAUCGAAAUGAACAGCAUCUCCUAGAGAAAGCAAGCAAGAGGACCAGAAAUUGCUUGACAACACGGGCGGGGGAUGAUUGGAGCAGAGUACGCACACGCAAUGCAAGAGGAACUAAGACGACGACGACGACAGCAAUGAUGACCUAUAGCUAGCGGCACCACGGACGGGGGUUGCAGCACAUGCACGCCGGGCGGCGCGCGCCUACGCGCCGGGCGCGGCGUCCUUGGCGCGGGUGCGCAGGUAUCCGCCGUACUCGCGCGCGUAGUCCUUGACGUGGCUGGCGGUGUCGGCGAUCCGGCUGCGCGCGUAGUCCACCCGGUCGGCGCCCACGGGGUGGCGGCCCGUGAAGUAGCGGUACAUCCAGGUGGCCACGGGGAGCGCGGCGGCGGCGAAGGCGCAGGCGGAGAGCGCGGCGGCGACGAUGGCGGAGAUCACGACGGCGACGGGCACCCAGAUGGGGCUGGUGAGCAGCGCGAUGGGGCCCAGGAAGACGAGCGCCACCACGGCGCCCGUCAGCG
RNAcentral lists this long non-coding RNA (702 nucleotides) under Zea mays. Its description in RNAcentral is "long non-coding RNA (ZMAY_LNC004857)". The record is from RNAcentral. Lineage: Eukaryota; Viridiplantae; Streptophyta; Magnoliopsida; Poales; Poaceae.